UCUACGGGAGGCAGCAGUGAGGAAUAUUGGUCAAUGGACGAGAGUCUGAACCAGCCAAGUAGCGUGAAGGAUGACUGCCCUAUGGGUUGUAAACUUCUUUUAUAUGGGAAUAAAAUGUUCCACGUGUGGGAUUUUGUAUGUACCAUAUGAAUAAGGAUCGGCUAACUCAGUGCCAGCAGCCGCGGUAAUACGGAGGAUCCGAGCGUUAUCCGGAUUUAUUGGGUUUAAAGGGAGCGUAGGUGGGUUGUUAAGUCAGUUGUGAAAGUUUGCGGCUCAACCGUAAAAUUGCAGUUGAAACUGGCAGUCUAGAGUACAGUAGAGGUGGGCGGAAUUCGUGGUGUAGCGGUGAAAUGCUUAGAUAUCACGAAGAACUCCGAUUGCGAAGGCAGCUCACUGGACUGCAACUGACACUGAGGCUCGAAAGUGUGGGUAUCAAACAGGAUUAGAUACCCGGGUAGUC
This 460-nucleotide ribosomal RNA is filed under the name uncultured bacterium. RNAcentral's name for it is "partial 16S ribosomal RNA". It matches the Rfam family "Bacterial small subunit ribosomal RNA", at positions 338 to 795 of the family's 1533-position model. The record is from RNAcentral.